This 1396-nucleotide long non-coding RNA is filed under the name Heterocephalus glaber (naked mole-rat). RNAcentral's name for it is "lncRNA (ENSHGLG00000025554.2)". Lineage: Eukaryota; Metazoa; Chordata; Mammalia; Rodentia; Bathyergidae. The record is from RNAcentral.
CUCAAUUCCUCAGGAUGUGAGGAAAUGAAGCAAAGGAAAAAUACCUCUCCCCUCCCACCUUGAGCAUAGCUCCCUGUCAGCACCGCAGCCUGGGAACCAAGGUGGAGAGAAGAUGUGAUCACACUGCUCUUGGCUAUUGGGACUGUCACCAGACAGGGUCUGAAGGGGUCUCUGAAGUGGAGCUGGGGAACCUCAUCUUACUCCACCCACAGGACUCUCAUUAAGGAGGUAAAGUGAUGAAAGUUUCUUGGAAAGAAAGAACUGCAGAGGUUCGCAGCCAAAUCAUAAGACAAUGAGUUGCCCACUGAAUCAAAGAGGGAAGCAGGACAUAACAAACAGGUGAAAAAAGCCAGCCCCCACGGACCAGCCUCCUAUAGCAGAAGCUAUGAGGAAAACCACACAGCAGAGAAAAAUACUCAUGUAAAGAUCUGUGCACCAUGCUUAAGCUAUAUGAAGAAAAGGUCCAAAUAAAUCUAAUACCUAAACAACACACUGGAGCAGAGGGCUGCAGAUGAACUUGGACAGAUACUUUCUCAGCAGAUAUACACCAUCACAGGAACAGAGUACCUCUGAGCAUGACUCCCUUCAGUCAGCAUGGAAGAUUAAUGAAACCAGCUUUUAACUCUAAAAUUAUAAAAUGAUAUAAUGCAGAAUAAACAUAAUUAUUUGUUUGUUUGUUUUGUUUUGGUACCGGGGAUUGAACUCGGGACUUUGCAUUUGUGAGGCAGGCAGUAGAACCACUGAGCUAAAUCCCCGGCCCUAAGCAUAAUUGUUGUCAGAGCAGACACAGACCUUCUGGCAUUAUAUGGAAAGAUAUCUGAUGUAUUGCAUAAACCCGGAUCCCUCUAGCAUUUCCUCAGACUUCCCUUCUUCAUCCAGCUGCACUUGUGCUUUUCGUCCUUAAACAUGUAUCUGCUUUGAACCUGAUGGAUCAGGUGAUUCCAAACUACACUUUCCCCUGGGCUACUCACCAUUUCUAGUUCAUCUCCUGGGCAAAUAUCCCAACCCUUGGAAGUUAGGCACACAGUCUGUGCAUGUACUAAGCAUGUGGCUUUCUGCAUAUGUCUGCACAUCAUUUUUCAGGAAACUCUAUUUCACACUGCACCAGCUUGCUGAGUAGCUGUUGUUCACACCCACUGAGAAAUAACUCCAUGUGAGAAUAAUACCUUUACAACUUUGAAAUGUCCUCAGACAGACUUCUCAUCUCCAGGCCAUCAACCUGCUGUGAACUCUCAUCCUGACUUUUCACACUUACAGGCAACAGUCAUGCAACAUACUGUCAAACAAUAUGAAGGUUUGGGGAGAUGUGGAGGAGUGAAAAAUUUUAAAUUGGAGCCUGAACAUCUUUUGAGAUGGGUGUAAUUUUUAAUAAUUAAAAAAUCUAUCACACAUACAA